Molecule: RNA transcript, 842 nt
Organism: Populus nigra (black poplar)
Lineage: Eukaryota; Viridiplantae; Streptophyta; Magnoliopsida; Malpighiales; Salicaceae
Gene name: large ribosomal subunit protein eL33w-like
Exons: 6
Source: RefSeq, a predicted model, not a curated record
CGAAGUCUCCUUCCUCUAUAUAAACACACUGAAGAACUAGAAUCUAGGGUUUUCUGGUAUACGCGUUGCCGCUGCGGAGUGUGAGUAGCUUUUUGCGAGGGAGUUUGGACUCGGCGAUUUGAAAUGGUGAAGGGACGCCAAGGAGAGCGAGUCAGGCUUUAUGUACGGGGAACAGUCUUGGGUUAUAAGAGGUCUAAGUCCAACCAAUAUCCCAACACGUCACUGAUCCAGAUUGAGGGCGUCAACACAAAAGAAGAGGUUGCAUGGUAUGCUGGGAAGCGGAUGGCAUACAUCUACAAGGCCAAGGUGAAAAGGGAUGGAUCCCAUUAUCGCUGCAUUUGGGGCAAGGUCACCAGGCCCCAUGGUAACAGCGGUGUAGUGAGAGCCAAGUUCAAAUCCAAUCUGCCUCCAAAGUCAAUGGGAGCUCGAGUACGGGUUUUCAUGUACCCCAGCAAUAUCUGAGGAUACAGUUGUGACUGUAAUACUGACAGCUUGGCGUAUGCAAUUGUUUUGGAUAGUUUAACAUCGGGUUUACUUCAUGGCCAAUCAGUUACUCAGGAUUUUUGUAGCUGGCAGAGAGGAUUUUUGUAGUCAUUUAAACCAGGGACUUUUGUAUCAGUCGGUGUUUUCCACCAAUUUGUUCUUCAAUUGCUUGAGUGACCACCUUUUCCUUAAUUUAAAAAUAGUUUUUUUUGUUUUAUUUUCCGUUAAUUUAAACAAGUAUUUUUAUAUGAACUCAUCUUUCUUCGAAAUAUUGAUUGGCUUGUAUACAACUUAUUUGUGGGGAUUUUCCAUAAUUUCCACUGGAUUUCCCAAGAUGAAGUUCAUUCUUGAUUUUUUUA